Molecule: ribosomal RNA, 1444 nt
Filed under: uncultured organism
Description: 16S ribosomal RNA
Rfam family: Bacterial small subunit ribosomal RNA
Source: RNAcentral
CGCUAGCUACAGGCUUAACACAUGCAAGUCGAGGGGCAGCAUUUUAGUUUGCUUGCAAACUAAAGAUGGCGACCGGGGCACGGGUGAGUAACACGUAUCCAACCUGCCGAUAACUCGGGGAUAGCCUUUCGAAAGAAAGAUUAAUAUCCGAUAGUAUAUUAAAACCGCAUGGUUUUACUAUUAAAGAAUUUCGGUUAUCGAUGGGGAUGCGCUCCAUUAGUUUGUUGGCGGGGUAACGGCCCACCAAGACUACGAUGGAUAGGGGUUCUGAGAGGAAGGUCCCCCACAUUGGAACUGAGACACGGUCCAAACUCCUACGGGAGGCAGCAGUGAGGAAUAUUGGUCAAUGGACGAGAGUCUGAACCAGCCAAGUAGCGUGAAGGAUGACUGCCCUAUGGGUUGUAAACUUCUUUUAUAUGGGAAUAAAGUAUUCCACGUGUGGGAUUUUGUAUGUACCAUAUGAAUAAGGAUCGGCUAACUCCGUGCCAGCAGCCGCGGUAAUACGGAGGAUCCGAGCGUUAUCCGGAUUUAUUGGGUUUAAAGGGAGCGUAGGUGGAUUGUUAAGUCAGUUGUGAAAGUUUGCGGCUCAACCGUAAAAUUGCAGUUGAAACUGGCAGUCUUGAGUACAGUAGAGGUGGGCGGAAUUCGUGGUGUAGCGGUGAAAUGCUUAGAUAUCACGAAGAACUCCGAUUGCGAAGGCAGCUCACUAGACUGCAACUGACACUGAUGCUCGAAAGUGUGGGUAUCAAACAGGAUUAGAUACCCUGGUAGUCCACACAGUAAACGAUGAAUACUCGCUGUUUGCGAUAUACAGUAAGCGGCCAAGCGAAAGCAUUAAGUAUUCCACCUGGGGAGUACGCCGGCAACGGUGAAACUCAAAGGAAUUGACGGGGGCCCGCACAAGCGGAGGAACAUGUGGUUUAAUUCGAUGAUACGCGAGGAACCUUACCCGGGCUUAAAUUGCAUUUGAAUAAUCUGGAAACAGGUUAGCCGCAAGGCAAAUGUGAAGGUGCUGCAUGGUUGUCGUCAGCUCGUGCCGUGAGGUGUCGGCUUAAGUGCCAUAACGAGCGCAACCCUUAUCUUUAGUUACUAACAGGUCAUGCUGAGGACUCUAGAGAGACUGCCGUCGUAAGAUGUGAGGAAGGUGGGGAUGACGUCAAAUCAGCACGGCCCUUACGUCCGGGGCUACACACGUGUUACAAUGGGGGGUACAGAAGGCAGCUACCUGGCGACAGGAUGCUAAUCCCAAAAACCUCUCUCAGUUCGGAUCGAAGUCUGCAACCCGACUUCGUGAAGCUGGAUUCGCUAGUAAUCGCGCAUCAGCCAUGGCGCGGUGAAUACGUUCCCGGGCCUUGUACACACCGCCCGUCAAGCCAUGAAAGCCGGGGGUACCUGAAGUACGUAACCGCAAGGAGCGUCCUAGGGUAAAACUGGUAAUUGGGGC